Molecule: RNA transcript, 1523 nt
Organism: Salvia miltiorrhiza (redroot sage)
Lineage: Eukaryota; Viridiplantae; Streptophyta; Magnoliopsida; Lamiales; Lamiaceae
Gene name: DNA repair protein RAD51 homolog 2
Exons: 13
Source: RefSeq, a predicted model, not a curated record
GAAACAGAAACAGAGAAAAGAAAAAAUACUUAUAUAUAUUAACCAGAAACAAAUUUAGCGAGCUUCUUCGAAAAUGGCGAACAAGCUAAUCAGCGAGAUGGGGCUCCCCAAAUCGAUAGCUAACGUAUUUUCCGCUCGGAAUAUCCUCACCGCCAAGGAUGCAUUGUCACUAAGUGAAUUCGAGUUAAUGGAGUUGAUGGAUGUUGGAUUGGAAGAGGUUAUGACGGCAGUGGCACGCAUUAGUGAAAUUGCGUGCCCGCCCUAUCAAACUGCUUUGUCGUUGCUGGAGCAGCGAAGACAAAAUGAGCAUCUAGCUGGUCAUCUCCCCACUGGCUUAAAAGGACUUGAUGCAGCUCUGUGUGGUGGAAUACCGUUUGGCGUUGUGACUGAGCUUGUUGGUCCUGCAGGAAUUGGGAAAACACAGUUGUGCCUGAAGCUUGCUUUGCUUGCGUCGUUGCCUACUUCUCAUGGAGGGUUAGGUGGCCAAGUAAUAUAUAUUGAUGUGGAAUCCAAAUUUAGUUCAAGAAGGAUUAUAGAAAUGGGGCUCAGUAGUUUCCCAGAAAUAUUUAACAUGGAGGGCAUGGCUCAAGAGAUGGCUGGAAGGAUUCUGGUUUUGCAGCCAGCAUCGUUAUCUGAAUUCACUGAAAGCUUGCAGAAAAUAAAGGUUUCUCUUCUCCAGAAUGAUGUAAAGCUGCUCAUCAUUGACAGCAUGACUGCUCUUGCUUCUGGAGAAUAUGGCCAGGGACCUCCUAGACUAGGUUGGCACUUCUCUUUUAUCAAAUCCUUAGCAGAAUGUUGUCGGAUUCCUGUAGUGGUGACUAAUCAAGUAAGAUCUCAAGUCCGUGAUGAAGCCUCUCGAUAUGUAUUCCAAGGGCAGAGCAGAGCCGACACUGUUGAAGAUACUUCAAAAUUUGAUUAUCAUCUUGUUGCUGCUCUGGGGAUUCAGUGGGCUCAUGCAGUUAGUAUACGUUUAAUUCUAGAAUCUAGAUCAGGACAAAGGUUUAUAAAGAUAGCAAAAUCUUCCAUAUCUCCAUCUGUGGGGUUUUUUUUCAGAAUCAAUGCAUCUGGGGUUUUGUUGCUUAACAACGAAGGAGAGGAAAUGACGGGUCCGGAAGCAAACACUAUCCAUUACCAAGGCCAGAGUGGCAUAAUCAACUAUGAUCGUGAUUCGUGAAGAACUGCUAUGAGAAACCUAGAAACCUAGUAUGAUGGAUGAAUAAGAGACGAUGUGCAGUCAACUAUUUGACUUCAGUAUUGGCUGUGUUCACAUAUUUGUUGCUUCUGGUCUGUUCACAUGGAAUUCAUUAUGCUGGAAGAGACCAGCCAAACGAUGAGGAUGAGUCUAUUAUCAAAAUGAUAAAUACUUCGCCAAGGAGCAUCAUGUACUUCAGCAUAAGUACAUCUGACUUGAUAAUAGUUUUCAAGUGUAGCUAUUAAUUUACAUUUGUUUGACUUGCAAAAUAUGUGAUGUAGACGAACCAUUUUAAUAUCAUUUGUACUCUGAAUGAUUCUGAUCUCUAAAA